Molecule: long non-coding RNA, 4854 nt
Organism: Malania oleifera
Lineage: Eukaryota; Viridiplantae; Streptophyta; Magnoliopsida; Santalales; Ximeniaceae
Exons: 4
Source: RefSeq, a predicted model, not a curated record
CGUAUAUUGCUCGAAAAGCAAACGAGCUCUUGGGACGAAGAACUUCCACCAGGUGAUUCAUCUGCGAAAGAGAUCUACGAGCUGAAAACGGCAAGAAAUUUCUUCCUUGAUCGUAGCGAAACUUGUGUAGAUUGAAAAUCUUCGUUCUCUCAACUCGGGACCUUUCGUUCGCUCCAGCGACUGAGGGUUUUCCUUCUCUAAUUUCUGGCCAUCACGGCAGCGAUUAGCCGUCGUCGGAGAAGACCAAGCUUGGGGGUGUAUUGAGUGGAACAUCGGCGAGAACUUUGGUUGGACAUGCAGCAAGUAAUUUGGGAUUAAUUCCACAUGAAACACUAGCAUAUUUGUAUCAGAGUUUUUACUCCCACUGGCAGUUCCAUUGUCGCCGUUUAGAUCAGAUUUGCAUCAAGUGAUACAGUCGACUGGGACACUUCUAUUGGCUUUCUUGUGUGGAUCAGGUUUUGCUUAAUGACAUUGACUUGUUUCAUGUGUACAAUUGUUUCUUACACUUUAGGUUAAAUUUGGUCUCACAAAUGGAAACUUGGCUGCCCUCAAUGCUAAAAUAAUUGAGAUACAAUAGUAAUGAGCUCUUUGCCCUCACUAAUUGUUUGAUUCUUAAAUCAUGUGGUCUUUUGAGUUAUUCUCAUCCUAGGAAAAAAAAAGCCACUAAUGAUUGCAUUGCAUUAGUUUUUGCAAUUCUUGAAAUUAUAAACCUACGUAUGUAGAUACAAGUGAAUCUUCUUGUUUGUUUUUUACCAUUUUUUUGCAGUAUCCAUUAAUUUACUCACAUUAACUUCUGUGUCCUUGUUCCAUUUGUGGACUAACUAACCAAAGGCUUAAGCUUACAUGCUUUUUAGCCUAUUGUAGUGGGUAAAUUGGGUCUUUAUUCAUGGCCAUGGCUAUAGUUCUUCUAUUGCACAUUUUCACGGAUUUUUCCCAUUGUCCUAGAUAUGCCCACUUUGGUAAUUGUGGCAGCAUUUACUAAUUUAAAUAUCCAUACCAUCUUUCUAGUUGCCAUUAUCAUGAAAUUUUUUUUUAUUGUGGUGCGUUUUCAUUCGUAAAUUUGGUCUUUCUGAAUGUCUUUUUGCGGCUUUUCUUUGUUAUGAGGUAGGAGAGUUGCUAGUUGAGUUCUUUGAUGUUGUGAAGUAGUGACUUGCCUAGAGAGCUACCACCUGCAAGACAUUCAACAUUCCAUAAAUCUCAUUCCAAGUUCACAAUUUCCUAACUUGUUAUAGGAUAAACUCAAAAGAGCAUGCUAAAUUGAAUAGGCAGGUAGGAGAAUUCCUUAACAAUGACUUUGUGAGACAUAGCCUCAAUCCUUGCGUAGCACCAACUCUUCUAACUCUAAAAAAAGAUGGAUCUUGGAGGAUGUGUGUGGAUAGUGGAGCCAUUAAACAAAUCACCAUCAAGUAUAGGUUCCAUAUCGAAAAUAUGCUUGACAUGCUAGCUGACUCAAGUUGGUACUCCAAGAGUGACUGACGCUGUGGGUAUCACCAAAUUGGAACUAGACCAAGAGAUGAGUGGAAAAUGACUUUUAAGACCAAGGAUGGUUUAUUUGAGUGGUUGGUCAUGCCUUAUGGAUUCUCCAAUGCCCCUAGAACUUAUAUAAGGGUUAUGACACAUGUUCUGCAACCAUUCAUAGGUAAGUUCCCGGUUGUCUACUUUGAUGAUAUACUGAUCUAUAAUAAAAUUAGGGAGGAACACUUGAUACAACUUUACGAGGUCUCUGUCACCUUGAGGGAAGCAUAGUUGUUUGCCAAUCUCAAGGAGUGUAGUUUCUUAUAGUCUAGUGUGCUCUUUCUUGGUUUUGUGAUCUCCAUGCAAGGAAUAGCCACUGAUUUAGGAAAGGUUAGAGCCAUUAGAGAGUGGCUUGAGCCUAGGACGAUUAUUGAGGUUCAUAGUUUUCAUGCCCUCACUACUUUCUAUAGGCGAUUCAUAGGGCAUUUGGCACCAUCAUGGCUUUUAUCAUUGAGUUUUUGAAGAAAGGAGAGUUUCAUUGGAUCCCAUCGGCUGCUAGAGCUUUUAGAGAGGUCAAACAAAAUAUGAUUGAAGCACCUGUACUUAGGCAUUCAAACUUUCGUAGGGUAUUUGAUGUGGUUUGUGAUGCCUUUGGGGUAGGUAUAGGUGGGGCGUUGAGUAAGGAGGGACGUCCUUUAUCAUUUUUUAGUGAAAAAAAUCUCAAAUGAUAAACAGAGAUAUAGCACAUACGAUAAAGAAUUUUAUGCCAUAGUGAGAUCUCUCCAACAUAGGAGAUACCACUUGUUACCCCAAGAGUUUGUACUCUUCUUUGACCACCUUGCUUUGUGAUAUCUAAGCUUACAGGAGAAGUUGAGUGCACAGCAUGUUGGUUGGGUAGAGUUCCUUAAUGAAUACACUUUUGUUCUUAAGCAUCAUUCCAUUGUAGAGAAUAAAGUUGCUGAUGGCCUUUGUAAGGUAGCAGUUAUUCUUUAUAUCUUGAGAGCCGAGGUCAUCGGGUUUGAUCAUUUGAAGGACGAGUACUCUACUUGUCCUAAUUUUGGGCAUAUCUAUUAGGAGGUGAGUGAGGGACACCAUAGAGAUUUUGUAGAUUUCAUCAUCCGUGAGGUAUACCUAUUUAGUGGUACUAGGUUAUGCAUUUCCUGUACUUCUUUUAGGGAUCUUUUAGUUUGGGAAUUGCAUGCCAAAGGGUUAGCUGGUCACCUAGAGAGGUAUAAAACCAUUGCCUUAGUUGAGGAUAGGUUUUAUUGGCCUUUCUUAAAUAGGGAUGUUGCUAAGAUAGUGUCUUAGUGUCGUACCUGUCAGCUAGCCAAACCUAAGAGACACAACACUGGCCUUUCUACUUCUCUACCAUUGUCACACAUACCUUGGAGAUACCUAAGUAUGGAUUUUGCUCUUGGACUUCCCAAAAGAGCUUGGGGACAUGAUUUUAUAUUUGUUGUUGUUGAUCGAUCCUAUAAGAUGGCACAUUUCAUCCCAUGUGAUAAGACUUCUGUUGCAUCUCAUGUGACUAAAUUGUUCUUUAGGUAGGUUGUCAAAUUGCAUAUGUUGCCAACCUCCAUAGUGUCUAAGAGGGAUGUCAAGUUUUUUAGCUGCUUUUAAGACACUGAAAAGGUCUGGGACACACUCUGAAUUUGAAACCAUAAAACAAACAUGCAAGUUUCUUCAAAAGUUUGUUUUAUUGCUUGGAUUUUUUUUUGACAUUAGAAUUGUUAGAUCGUGUAUAUGCCCUAGAACGUCAUGCUACUUAUUUUGAGUUUCUUAGCUUCUAUUUUAAAAUUGGCUUUACAUUUGCAAUAAAAAAUUGAACUUGUUUGGAUUACUCUGAGUACUUGUGUGUACAAUGGAAGCUGAAUUUGACUUAAAACUUGUACUUUUGCAGAUUGUAGUAGGAAAUAAUAUAUAAAGUGACGGUCAAAAUUUUGUGCUGGGGGUAUUUAUUUUAGUUGCUCUUUGUGAUGUUAGUUGCAGUCAUGAAAUUAAUAAGCAUGUAAAAUAUGUAAAUGAAUCUUUAAAUAAUUUCUAUGGAUUUUACUUACAUUGAAACAAUUAGUUGCAUUAUAGCAAAUCACUUAUAAAAAGAAAGUUUGGAAACUUUUAUGUUUUUUUUUUUAAUAUCUUAUUUGUUCCUUUAUUUAUAUCUUCUUUCUGAUGAAUGUCAACUGAAGAUGUUGGUAAUGCCUUUAUUGUUUUGUUUUGUUUUAUUUUUUUUUUAAUUUAUUUUAAUUUAUUUAUUUUCUUGUAUAAAUGUUUAGCUGCUUAUGAGGGUUUGCACCUUUACACUUGGAGUUUCAUGCUAUAUGUUCCAUGUGUUAAGCUAAAAUGGAAACGGAGAAAAUGAAAACGCCUUAAAGAGGAUGAACUGCAGCCGUGUACCAAUUUAUUCCAUCAAAAAUACAAUUAUCAUGUGUUAAAAUAAUUCAUUAAAUACCACGUGCUCAUUAUCCCAUUAGAAUGCAAUAACUCUUUUCCUUCUAUAUUUAUCUUAUGUAUCUAUAAAUAAGAACAUUUGUAUAGUGUGAAAUGUGUAAGUGAAGUGUGCGAGUGAGGAGUGUGAGAGUGUUGAAGGCGAAAAAGAGAAAAGUGUGAUGUAGGCUAAUGAAUAUGAUGGUUGCUUCCCUAGGGCUAUUGCCUUCUAUUGUUGUAGGCACGAAUGUGGAUUGGGAGCAUGUUGAUCUGUUUCUAGAUGAGGUUGGCAAUUGAUUAAAUAUCCAUGCAUGAUAACCACAAUUUAUAUAUCUCGAGUGUUUAUCCUUGUUCCUAGUAUAAACUGAUUUGAUAGAGCUCUUGUCCACCAGGAAGCAAUUAUAACUACUUUCAUGAAGUUCCUAAAGAAAAUUUGGGCAGGUGGUUCUCUCAUUUUAUAUGGGGAUAGGAAGCAAUUAUAACUACUUUCAUGAAGUUCCUAAAGAAAAUUUGGGCAGGUGGUUCUCUCAUUUUAUAUGGGGAUAGCCUUGCCAGGGGAUGUGUAUGGUUAAAGGUCUGGCUGAUGGAUUUCCCUAAAAGUUGGCUGUCCAUUUGAGUAUGGUGGUGGUCAUGUCAACCCUAAGAAACUAUGGAUCCUGAUCUUAUAAUUAACUCAAGCCUUCUUGAUCAUUGGUUUUCUUUGUUCUCUGGGCUAUAAUGAAAAUGAAAUAAGCCCUAUGACCAGCUAUCGCACCUUAUGCAAUGACCAAAGUGCCAAUUUUCUACUAAAUUUCAAUCUACCGUGUAUUUCAAUUACUUGAGUUAAAGAAUACUACAACAAUAUCAAGAAUAAGUAGUGAUUAAAUUUUAUCUCUUCAACGGCUACUUCAAUUCUUGUAACUCUUUUUUUUUAUUUUUUUGGACACUAGACUCGUUGAUAAGUCAAUAUGAAGUUUUAUAGAAUUUUAUUUGAUA